GGGGCUGUAGCUCAGUGGCAGAGCACUUGCCUAGCAUGUGUGAGGCACUGGGUUCGAUCCUCAGCACCA
Ictidomys tridecemlineatus (thirteen-lined ground squirrel) is the source of this 69-nucleotide non-coding RNA. NCBI's taxonomy places the organism in Eukaryota, Metazoa, Chordata, Mammalia, Rodentia, Sciuridae. The record is from Rfam.